This 70-nucleotide transfer RNA is filed under the name Ariosoma meeki. RNAcentral's name for it is "tRNA-Asp". It matches the Rfam family "tRNA". From Rfam's summary of the family: Transfer RNA (tRNA) molecules are approximately 80 nucleotides in length. Their secondary structure includes four short double-helical elements and three loops (D, anti-codon, and T loops). Lineage: Eukaryota; Metazoa; Chordata; Actinopteri; Anguilliformes; Congridae. The record is from RNAcentral.
AAGAUACUAGUAUUAAUAAGUACACUGCCUUGUCAGAGCAGAAUUGUAGGUUAAAACCCUGCGCAUCUUA